AGAGUUUGAUCCUGGCUCAGAUUGAACGCUGGCGGCAUGCUUUACACAUGCAAGUCGAACGGCAGCACGGGUGCUUGCACCUGGUGGCGAGUGGCGAACGGGUGAGUAAUGCGUCGGAACGUACCGAGUAAUGGGGGAUAACGCGGCGAAAGUCGCGCUAAUACCGCAUACGCCCUGAGGGGGAAAGCAGGGGAUCGCAAGACCUUGCGUUAUUCGAGCGGCCGACGUCUGAUUAGCUUGUUGGUGAGGUAAAGGCUCACCAAGGCGACGAUCAGUAGCGGGUCUGAGAGGAUGAUCCGCCACACUGGGACUGAGACACGGCCCAGACUCCUACGGGAGGCAGCAGUGGGGAAUUUUGGACAAUGGGGGCAACCCUGAUCCAGCCAUGCCACGUGAGUGAAGAGGGCCUUCGGGUUGUAAAGCUCUUUCAGCUGGAGCGAAACGGUACGCUCUAACAUAGCGUGCUACUGACGGUACCAGCAGAAGAAGCACCGGCUAACUACGUGCCAGCAGCCGCGGUAAUACGUAGGGUGCGAGCGUUAAUCGGAAUUACUGGGCGUAAAGCGUGCGCAGGCGGAUUGUUAAGCAAGACGUGAAAUCCCCGGGCUUAACCUGGGAAUGGCGUUUUGAACUGGCAGUCUGGAGUGCGUCAGAGGGGGGUGGAAUUCCACGUGUAGCAGUGAAAUGCGUAGAGAUGUGGAGGAACACC
Molecule: ribosomal RNA, 709 nt
Filed under: uncultured bacterium
Lineage: Bacteria
Description: bacterial SSU rRNA
Rfam family: Bacterial small subunit ribosomal RNA
Source: RNAcentral